Molecule: ribosomal RNA, 253 nt
Filed under: uncultured bacterium
Lineage: Bacteria
Description: partial 16S ribosomal RNA
Rfam family: Bacterial small subunit ribosomal RNA
Source: RNAcentral
GACGUAGGGUCCAAGCGUUGUCCGGAAUCAUUGGGCGUAAAGCGCGCGUAGGUGGCCUCAUAAGUCCGCUGUGAAAGUCAAAGGCUCAACCUUUGAAAGCCGGUGGAUACUGUGAGGCUAGAGUACGGAAGAGGCGAGUGGAAUUCCUGGUGUAGCGGUGGAAUGCGCAGAUAUCAGGAGGAACACCAAUAGCGAAGGCAGCUCGCUGGGACGUUACUGACACUGAGGCGCGAAAGCGUGGGGAGCGAACAGG